RNAcentral lists this ribosomal RNA (464 nucleotides) under uncultured bacterium. Its description in RNAcentral is "partial 16S ribosomal RNA". It matches the Rfam family "Bacterial small subunit ribosomal RNA", at positions 339 to 795 of the family's 1533-position model. The record is from RNAcentral.
CUACGGGAUGCAGCAGUGGGGAAUAUUGCACAAUGGGCGCAAGCCUGAUGUAGCCAUGCCGCGUGUAUGAAGAAGGCCUUCGGGUUGUAAAGUACUUUCAGCGGGGAGGAAGGGAGUAAAGUUAAUACCUUUGCUCAUUGACGUUACCCGCAGAAGAAGCACCGGCUAACUCCGUGCCAGCAGCCGCGGUAAUACGGAGGGUGCAAGCGUUAAUCUGAAUUACUGGGCGUAAAGCGCACGCAGGCGGUUUGUUAAGUCAGAUGUGAAAUCCCCGGGCUCAACCUGGGAACUGCAUCUGAUACUGGCAAGCUUGAGUCUCGUAGAGGGGGGUAGAAUUCCAGGUGUAGCGGUGAAAUGCGUAGAGAUCUGGAGGAAUACCGGUGGCGAAGGCGGCCCCCUGGACGAAGACUGACGCUCAGGUGCGAAAGCGUGGGGAGCAAACAGGAUUAGAUACCCUCGUAGUC